Molecule: ribosomal RNA, 693 nt
Filed under: bacterium Sed1
Lineage: Bacteria
Description: bacterial SSU rRNA
Rfam family: Bacterial small subunit ribosomal RNA
Source: RNAcentral
GCUACACAUGCAGUCGAGCGGAUGAAGGGAGCUUGCUCCUGGAUUCAGCGGCGGACGGGUCUCUACCAACUAGGAAUCUGCCUGGUAGUGGGGGAUAACGUCCGGCAUCUGGCGCUAAUACCGCAUACGUCCUGAGGGAGAAAGUGGGGGAUCUUCGGACCUCACGCUAUCAGAUGAGCCUACUUCGGAUUAGCUAGUUGGUGGGGUAAAGGCCUACCAAGGCGACGAUCCGUAACUGGUCUGAGAGGAUGAUCAGUCACACUGGAACUGAGACACGGUCCAGACUCCUACGGGAGGCAGCAGUGGGGAAUAUUGGACAAUGGGCGAAAGCCUGAUCCAGCCAUGCCGCGUGUGUGAAGAAGGUCUUCGGAUUGUAAAGCACUUUAAGUUGGGAGGAAGGGCAGUAAGUUAAUACCUUGCUGUUUUGACGUUACCAACAGAAUAAGCACCGGCGAACUUCGUGCCAGCAGCCGCGGUAAUACGAAGGGUGCAAGCGUUAAUCGGAAUUACUGGGCGUAAAGCGCGCGUAGGUGGUUCAGCAAGUUGGAUGUGAAAUCCCCGGGCUCAACCUGGGAACUGCAUCCAAAACUACUGAGCUAGAGUACGGUAGAGGGUGGUGGAAUUUCCUGUGUAGCGGUGAAAUGCGUAGAUAUAGGAAGGAACACCAGUGGCGAAAGCGACCACCUGGACUGA